Molecule: ribosomal RNA, 204 nt
Filed under: uncultured bacterium
Lineage: Bacteria
Description: partial 16S ribosomal RNA
Rfam family: Bacterial small subunit ribosomal RNA
Source: RNAcentral
GACGAACGCUGGCGGCGUGCUUAACACAUGCAAGUCGAGCGGUAAGGCCCUUUCGGGGGUACACGAGCGGCGAACGGGUGAGUAACACGUGGGUGACCUGCCCUUAGCUCUGGGAUAAGCCUGGGAAACUGGGUCUAAUACCGGAUAUGACUCCAUAACGCAUGUUGUGGGGUGAAAGCCUUGUGCGGCUAGGGAUGGGCCGCC